This 1251-nucleotide long non-coding RNA is filed under the name Anser cygnoides (Swan goose). RNAcentral's name for it is "lncRNA (ENSACDG00005013572.1)". Lineage: Eukaryota; Metazoa; Chordata; Aves; Anseriformes; Anatidae. The record is from RNAcentral.
AUGUUGUUAUGGAAAUACUGCCUACAACGAGUUAGGCAAAAUGAGUUAAUCUUAUCUAACACAUUAGGCAUAGGACUCACCAGCACAAAGCAGAAUAACUUUGUUUUCUGCUGGGGACGACGACUUGGAGGAGAGCAUCAGGCUGAGGCGCCCCGGAGCUCAGGAGGCCUGAGGCUGUCGCAGCAGCAGGCAGAGGGCCAGCAGAGGCGAUCCACGUCCCCGUCUCCAGCCACGCUCGAGGGGACGAAGGCCUGGUGUCGAAGGGCUGUCACCAGGCGUCCUGCCAGGUUACGGCCUGCUGAUCCCCUGAGACCACUCACCUUGGGAGCAGGGUCACUGCGCAGAUUUCUCAGCUUCAACAGGAGAAAGGCUGGCCUCAAACACUCACCUUGCAGGCAGGGAAACGGGCUCUGGCUGCAAGAAAUCCCGGAGAGCAGGAAGCGCGUCCCUUCUGCCCAUCAGGGUGGGCAGCCCUGACACUGACCAGGGUGUAAAACAGCUUUUGGGCAUCGCUCCCUGGUCCUGCUGCCUGGAUCCAUGGGGAAAAGGGACUGCUGGGGCAGCUGGAGAGGAAUGAGAGACUGCAACUCAGUUAAGGUGCCAGUUCCUCGGUGUGCUAGCCUGAAAACCUAUUUAUGUGAACAUACGUCAUUGCACAAGCAUUUCUUUCUGUAUCAGAAUAAGAAUUGCAUUUUUAGAUUAAAGGUAAGGCAAAAAGUGUUUCCUGGGCUCUGAUUUGAGCUUCUGGGCUCCUCCCUCAGCAUCUGCUGAUAGUGGUAAGCCCUGAAAUACAGAAUGAGCUACUUUUCUUUAGCUGUCGCAUUACCAGUGCAACAACUAGGUCUGUGAUGGCUGCACAGCACACAGAAAACACGUCAUUUUAAAAGGUUUCUUUACGAAGCCAAAGCUUCACUUUAUAUUGGAGCAAACCUGGCAUAGCAUCGCUGCCUGCCUGUCGCUGCUUGCCUGCCCAUAGCUAUGAGCAGGCUUUGCUCCAUGCCCUGGAAUGAUUCGGGUUUCAAAUUAAUUUGUGCCUUUGUGAAAAAAACAACAGCUCACAAAUAUUCCAGGCCAAACUUGAGAUGAUUGCCUGAUGAGAUAAUAAGCUGCUAGUGCUCUAACCUGACGGUAUCACUACAUUAUUAUGUUCCUGAACAAUACUGCAUUGUGGAAACAAAGCACGCUAGCUGUAUCCUUAUGUUAUCCAUCAGCCAGCAGUGCAGGAAUAAAGUUAUUUAACUCUCAUUUUCA